Molecule: long non-coding RNA, 3220 nt
Filed under: Gallus gallus (chicken)
Lineage: Eukaryota; Metazoa; Chordata; Aves; Galliformes; Phasianidae
Source: RNAcentral
AGGGAACAAAGCAAAGGGAGAGUCUUGGUGAGACAACGUGUAGGGAGAACUGACAGCCAGCCAAAAGCCCCAUCCAGCUACAAGAAGUUUGUAAGCAGAAUUAUUUUCUUAGCACGUCAUCAUGCUUCCUGCAGAAGCUUGGGCAGUCAGACAGGUUUUCCAUCCUGGUAGGCUAGAAAACAUGGGGUGAUUAUUUAGACAAGAUGGUGAAUAUUACUUGAUGAUUGCCUUGAAGAGAGGGCUGCUGACAGGGGAGAGGGGAGAAAAAGUCUGGAGGCAUGAAAAAGGGAACACUUGAGCCAGAUCAGUACUGGGUAUUUGAAGUCAGAUUCCUGUCUUUUUCCUAUGCCCGCUAAUUCUAAGUCCAAACUAGAGCAGGUUUGCCUACUUUUACAGCUGGAUCUGGGAGGUGUGUAAGUGCAUGUCUCAGGUUCAGCAGAAAGCAGGAAUUUUCCUGCGGUGAGCACAGUCUAACUGCAAGACUGGCUUUGUCCUGGCUCCAGCUCUCCAAGCCUUGAUUCUAUCUGGUGGUACUUCUACACUGAGGAGUAUGUAGAAUUAAAAAGUUAGAGAGUCGUUUUGAAGGUAAUUAGCACAAGAGAGGAGAGACCUGCUACUUGUUUCUGACAUACAGGUCCCACUAUCAGUUCUCUUAUGGAAAAAACAAAAACAAAAACAAAAAACCUCCAGAUGUUGCCUACAGACCCAAGCAGAUUUGUUGAAAUUAUUUCAGGUAGGCUGUGAAACCACACAGACAAAUAUCCAUCACUGGAAAACACUGGAAAACUGAUCUACAGACAAGCUUGGUUCUGACGGACUCUAUUGUGCCCCGCACCAGACUCCAGAACAUCUGUGUCAUGGGAUGACACCUCUCUGCUGGGGAAGUCUGUUCAAAUUUCUGUUCAGAUCCUCAGAUGCUGCUCCAAGAGAGAUGGCAGUGCAAAUGUAUGUUGUGAACUUGUUCCAAGUCGUACAGAUGUGAACAUUUCUCCAUGAAACCAGAGCUGGAUGCUGAAAUGUCCUGGGCAGACUGUGCAGUAACAUAACCUGUAACAUACAUACUAGCCUCUCGGGGCAGACCACCAAGACUACCAGUACCUUCUUUUCAAAAGCAUCUAAGACUACUGUGCUUCAAAUGAACAAAGUAGAGAACCGGACCACCGCCCCAUCCCCCAAGAAAAGAUCACCCUGAAGCCUUGGUAGUGGAGACAUGAGUUGUUCUGGAGACCUACCGAAAUUGGCUGUCAACUUCCUGCACAGUCAGGCUUUGGAUCAAGGAAAUGGAUUGUUAGUUGAGCAUACUCCAGAGCUGCCUCCAAAGGGUCCCAAAAAUAAGAGCUCUCUAGAAGCUGGAGGAGUCUGAAAGCAUUUACAGGACCAAACUAUCUUGAAAGAGGUGAAGAGGAAAAGCUUGAAUGCUGGUAGAGUUUGAGCUCCAAUGCAUAGAAGUAUUGCUACCAGGAAGAAAGAAGGCAACAGCUUCACAACUAGCAGCAGGAGUCAGGUCUGCUUUCUAACAUGUCCUUCUGGGAGCUCUCCAGGGCCUAGAGAGAGCUCAUUUCAUCAGCCUUUGCCAUAACAGGGGCACUAACAGAGAUUUUCUGCUCUCUUUGGUCACUAUUUUUCUUGCUAUUCAUAUGAACUUGGUAUCUUGGAGGCCGGUCCUUCAAAUUCCAGUUGAAGAUAUGCAACAGUUUCCAACAACUCCCAGAGGCAACUGUACACAUGGUGUGACCGCACAUGGAAAAAGAUCCUGGUGUGUUGAGAGGAAUGGCUACAGAGCCCUUCUGUGGCAGGUGCUGCUUUCAUAGAUCUGAUCAUCAGGAAGAAUCAUCUCUGAUGUGAAAGCGAUGACUGCCCUGUGAUGCACUGUGCAGCUGUCAGUGAUGUUUCACUUUGAGGCAGUCAGCAACUCAUGUCAAAGGUCUUGUUUGCACUUGAUGCUGCCUCAGAAAGCCUGAGUCACUCUUCACCCUCAUUCACCCUGGUUACAUACGUUUACUCUGUGGUUGUAUGGUGGUUGGGAAAGUCCUCAAGUACAAGGGAAGACAAAUCUGUCUUCUUCCUGAAAACUUAGUCCUACUGCUUUUAUAAUGAGAAAGCUGGUUGGCAUGUCAUUCCCAACAUCAGGGCUUGAAACACAAUGUAGUUUUACUGUCUGCCUCUGCUCAGGAAUCUGAGCUCCAAAACGUGAAAUACAAAUUACAUUUAUGUCAAAACAAAAUAGCAGGGAGUACACUCUCAGUUCCUGCUCUGGACCUAGGUCUCCAUCAGUAUGAAAGAAUGGAAUGAACAACCUUCUUUCCUAUUUUUCACUCUGAAGGGCGUUUGGGUAUUCAGCCAAAGUUUGCUGCUUGCUUCUGUUUGUGUACAUGGAUGUCUAUGAAACUUGAAUCCCUCAGUAUUUGCAUGAGUUACGAGCAUGUGCCCAGCUAAUUGCUGGCAUCAGCUGCAGUGUGUUUAAAGUCAUUCUCUGGUGGUCUGGUCAUGAAAUUGUACUUAUCCAUAGGAGCCUCAGUGCCACCAUUUUGUAUUGGCUUCAAGUUAUCUUCAACUACAGCCACCACCACCAGUAGUUCUGAAAGUUUAAAAUCAGUCAGUUGUUUGGAUACUCAUUAAGUCCUACAUUCUUAAAAAGCGAAACCUCUACAAAAGCAUCUCUGACAGCUGCAUAACAAAAAUAUAACUACUAAUAUAGCCAGCAUUGUUAGUUGAGCAUAGUCCAGAGCUGCCUCCAAAGGGUCCCAAAAAUAAGAGCUCUCUAGAAGCUGGAGGAGUCUGAAAGCAUUUACAGGACUGAACUGUCUUGAAAGAGGUGAAGAGGAAAAGCUUGAAUGCUGGUAGAGUUUGAGCUCCAAUGCACAGAAGUAUUGCUACCAGGAAGAAAGAAGGCAACAGCUUCACAACUAGCAGCAGGAGUCAGCCAGAGGUGUACCCAGGUGGCCAAGAAGGCCAGUGGCAUCCUGGCUUGUAUCAGAAACAGUGCUGCCAGCAGGAACAGGGAAGUAAUUGUCCCCCUGUACUCAGCACUGGUGAGGCCGCACCUCGAGUACUGUGUCCAGUUUUGGGCCCCUCACUGUAAGAAAGACAUCGAGGCCCUGGAGCGUGUCCAGAGGAGGGCAACAAAGCUGGUGAGGGGUCUGGAGCACAGCCUUAUGAGGAAUGGUUGAAGGAGCUGGGAUUGUUCAGUCUGGAGAAGAGGAGGCUCAGGGGAGACCUU